This 1026-nucleotide long non-coding RNA is filed under the name Canis lupus familiaris (dog). Its description in RNAcentral is "lncRNA (ENSCAFG00030006263.1)". Lineage: Eukaryota; Metazoa; Chordata; Mammalia; Carnivora; Canidae. The record is from RNAcentral.
AUGUGGGAUUCGAUUCCGGGUCUCCAGGAUCGCGCCCUGGGCCAAAGGCAGGCGCCAAACCGCUGCGCCACCCAGGGAUCCCCAGGCCCCUGUUUUCCUUCCCUGCCCCCCGCCUCGCCCUGCCCUGCGCCCCGCCGCCCUGCGCCCCAGCCCUCGGGCCCUCUGCACACCGCAGAAAGACGCCGCGGAGGGCGGAGGUCCGCUGCAAGGUGUCGUGUCGGCAGCCCGGGUAACAGCACCGCUAACAGGAACCCGCAACCUGCGCUUUCUUGUUUUCGUGCACGUGUCCAUCAAAAACGGUCGGCGGUUCAGAAGCUCUCUGCGGCCUUUCGGUUCGCGUUUGUCCCGCCGCGGCAGGCUUCGCUGAUGCUUGGAGGAGAGGAGCGGCAGGGCCUGCAGAGCCUGCAGAGCCCGCUCGCCCUGCCCCGCAGGAGAGCUGGGCCCGUCUCCCAACAGGAAGAGAUGGAAGCUGGUGCUUCAAGCCCUGAACUGAGGAUGGGCGCGCACAGGGACUCGGCCCGGCAGGGAGGAGCCCGCGGAGCCCUGCAAGCGGGGCCUGAGUGCGGGCGCUGGGCAGGGCGGUGUCCGCGCGGAGCUCGCUCAGGGCCACGCCGCCCCCGCAGCCCCCUGGCCUUGCCUCGGGGAGGGGCCUUGGGGAAGGCUCCACGACCCCCAACCCUGGAGCCCCCCAGUCUUGCCUCGGGGAGGGGCCUUGGGGAAGGCUCCGCGACCCCCAACCCUGGAGCCCCCCAGUCUUGCCUCGGGGAGGGGCCUUGGGGAAGGCUCCACGACCCCCACCCCUGGAGCCCCACAGUCUUGCCUCGGGAAGGGGACUUGGGGAAGUCUCGACGUCUCGACGACCCCCACCCCUGGAGCUCCCCAGUCUUGCCUCGGGAAGGGGCUUUGGGGAAGUCUCGACGACCCCCACCCCUGGAGCCCCACAGUCUUGCCUCGGGAAGGGAAGGGGGAAGGCUUGACACCCGGCGCCCCGCCCAGGCUAUCUCAGCAAAUUAUGCUUUACGUUGA